UCAGGAACCCUCCUGCCUCCCAUGUGCCUUGGCAUUCUUGCUACACCUUAUCAGUGAUGUUGUGUUAAAGUAUUUUGUCAACAUCCAAAUGCCUCAGAUACUGCCUCCCUCCAGACCCCAGGACCCAACCCAGGACCUUCGGGCUUUCACUUUUCCCUAAACCAUGGGCUACCUCACCAAGGCACACACUGAGUCACCUCAUUGACUCAAGAAUCCUUCAAGAUCUUCUCAUAAAUAAGAUGGUAUUGGGCAUGCUGGCACAAGUCUUUAAUCCAGGCACUUGGGAAGCUGAGCAGGUGGAUCCCCAUGAGUACAAAGCCAAUCUGGUCUGCAUAUCAAGUUUCAAGCCAGUCAGGGCUACAUAGGGAGAAUCUGUAGAAAGAAAGAAGGGUGGUGGGGGUUAGGAUAGGCUAUAUAGAGAGACACUGUAGAAAGAGAGAGGAGAGGGG
RNAcentral lists this long non-coding RNA (449 nucleotides) under Cricetulus griseus (Chinese hamster). RNAcentral's name for it is "lncRNA (ENSCGRG00015037454.1)". Lineage: Eukaryota; Metazoa; Chordata; Mammalia; Rodentia; Cricetidae. The record is from RNAcentral.